RNAcentral lists this long non-coding RNA (485 nucleotides) under Salvia miltiorrhiza (redroot sage). Its description in RNAcentral is "long non-coding RNA (SMIL_LNC000294)". Lineage: Eukaryota; Viridiplantae; Streptophyta; Magnoliopsida; Lamiales; Lamiaceae. The record is from RNAcentral.
GAUCAUGUUAAGGUUCAAACACUUGAAACCAUCUAAAAUAAAUAUAUUCAUGCAUGUCCUAAUUCCUAAACUUGAUUAAUUACCUUAAUCCAUUUAAGUUUUUAAAUAAAAAAUGUUACAAUAAUAUCUCAGUAAAACCAAAGAUUACAAAGUAAAUAUUAAGCAUACAUAGUAAAAAAAAAAAAAAAAAAAAAAAAAAAAACAACAACAACAACAAAUUCCCACACACUUGUAGACUAAUGGUAAGGUUAAUUUGGUAUUUAAGUACAAUACUCAGCUAAAACAUAAUUUAAAAGUGAUUUUACUACUGAUGCACGUCCAAAAUUUGUAAUUUAAUACUUUCCCGUCCCAAUAUUAUUGGUUCGUAUUUUUUUUUUUUGAGCUGUCACAUAUAACAUGACUUGUUUCUUUUUUGAGCCAUAUUAGGAGUGGAUUAGUAACAUAAUUAAAAGCAAUAUAAAAGCCUAAUUGAACCCUGUUAUUUC